Molecule: ribosomal RNA, 293 nt
Filed under: uncultured bacterium
Lineage: Bacteria
Description: partial 16S ribosomal RNA
Rfam family: Bacterial small subunit ribosomal RNA
Source: RNAcentral
GUGCCAGCCGCCGCGGUAAUACGUAGGGGGCUAGCGUUGUCCGGAAUUAUUGGGCGUAAAGAGCUCGUAGGCGGUUCGGCAAGUCACGUGUGAAAUCUCCACGCUCAACGUGGAGGCGCCACGUGAGACUGCUGUGACUAGAGUCCGGUAGGGGAGUGUGGAAUUCCCGGUGUAGCGGUGAAAUGCGCAGAGAUCGGGAGGAACACCCGUAGCGAAGGCGGCACUCUGGGCCGGUACUGACGCUGAGGAGCGAAAGCGUGGGGAGCAAACAGGAUUAGAUACCCUAGUAGUCC